UACGUAGGGUGCAAGCGUUGUCCGGAAUUAUUGGGCGUAAAGAGCGUGUAGGCGGUUCGGUAGGUCCGUUGUGAAAACUCGAGGCUCAACCUCGAGACGCCGAUGGAAACCCCCGAACUAGAGUCCGGAAGAGGAGAAUGGAAUUCCUGGUGUAGCGGUGAAAUGCGCAGAUAUCAGGAAGAACACCCGUGGCUAAGGCGGUUCUCUAGUACGGUACUGACGCUGAGACGCGAAAGCGUGGGGAGCGAACAGG
Molecule: ribosomal RNA, 253 nt
Filed under: uncultured bacterium
Lineage: Bacteria
Description: partial 16S ribosomal RNA
Rfam family: Bacterial small subunit ribosomal RNA
Source: RNAcentral